Aedes albopictus (Asian tiger mosquito) is the source of this 7934-nucleotide long non-coding RNA. RefSeq lists it as uncharacterized. The transcript has 2 exons. The record is from RefSeq and is a predicted model, not a curated record. Lineage: Eukaryota; Metazoa; Arthropoda; Insecta; Diptera; Culicidae.
GGAAAGCUGUGUUGUGGUGAUAACCAUAUUUCGUGUUCGAAAGAAAUCGCUCAAGAAACAUCAGAUCUCGAGCGAUUCCUGGCAGCAAUUUUCAACGGGGGCUUCUGAAUUGUCAUUUCUUCGCUACUGCGUACUGCGAUCGAAGAAACAACGGUUUCUUGAGCGAUUCAGGCAAGGAAUUUCUCAUGCAUCAAGAUAGGCCAAGAAAAGUACACGCGGCAAAUCCCUGAGGAAAGAAACAGCCGCGUUUUUUGCUCUCCUUUUACUCCAUUCUGGGUGAUAACUGCGGCGUUUACUCAAGUGCGGCUGUUCCUUUCCAAGAUGAUUUGCCGCGUGGAAUUUCGGUAAAUAUUCAGCAAAAUAUUUUUUAUUAUUCAAGUUCAUUAAUAAUAUAUAUUGUCGGCGAGAUGGUCGGGUCGCCUCCGAACCGGACGUCGUACAAUCAAGGCACGACGCGACCCAACUCGCGACGUUUUGGAAUCAUGUCAAAAGCAGUGCGCGUCCUUCCCGUUGUUGUCAGCAACACAGCGCACUAGAUGCGAAACAGUUGCGGCAUUUGUUAACCAAGAAAAUGGCAAUUUUUUAUUGAAUGUAUGUCUUAAUUCCAACCGGAUAGACAAUAUUGACAAUCUUGCAGUUAUUGCGACGUACAGGCAAAUAAAAUUGUCCCGCCACAAAAUGUACACACGUGUGUACUGGCUUCAGCAUACAUUGGUAGCAAUUGGCUUCUUUAGUGGUGUUGAGAUAAUCUCAUAUUCUGAAUCUACAUGUCAAACUGUGCCGAAAUCCAAAUUUUCAUGAAUUUUGGAGCCCGAGAACCUAUUUAAAAAUCAAUUUGAAGUUUGUAUGGGAGCGAUUUGUCGAAUCACCCCUCGUCGCAGUUUGUGCUGGGCGGAGCUGUCAAACAGUUGCCCACCUGUCAAAAGGUGAUUUCAAAAAAUCUCUUUGAAAUUGAUUUUAGGUAUCAAAACAAAGUUCUAAAAAUCUGAAAAAAAUCAUAGUGACUCAGAAAAAGGCGCUCUUUCGUAUAAAAUCAAAAAAUCAAUACAUUUUUCGAAAUUCAAAAACCCAAAUGUCUCUACAGUUUUGCAGUUGCAGGUGCACUUGGGUAGUGCUCCGAAUAAUCGGUUUGUUUAUGCGCUGUUUCCUUUGUUCCUGGGUGUGUGAGCCCAAUGUUCAAAGAUUGAACAUUUGCACGGUCGAUCGUGAUGAUGAUGAUUGAAAUGGGACCUGGAAAAACUUUGGCCUGAUCGAAUGCCAAAUUUCUCUUUACGGAUGACCCACUUCAAUGGCCAUCUCCCUUCUUUUUCCUUACCAGUAAAUAAUAAACUCUCAUUUGAUGAAGCGUUGAGAUUCCAGGGCAAAAUAAUGUGUUCAAAAAGAAACCAUGGAUGCAUCUUGUUUGACUCGACGUUAUUUUCAUUAGUUGGCUUUUGUACUGGGCGGAUUUUGUACUGGGCGGAGCUUUCAAGCAGUUGCCCAGCUGUCAAAAGGUGAUUUGAAUAAAUCUUUUUGAAAUUUAUUUUGGGUAUCAAAACAAAGUUCUAAAAAUCUGAAAAAAAAAAUCAUAGAGGCUUAGAGAAAGGUGCUCUUUCGUUUAAAGUCUAGUAUGCACCUGGUAAGAAAAGCACUCCAGAAAAAAUCCCUCUAAUUACCAAAGGAAUUUUGACAACUGAUUAGUAUGGGAAACAAUGUCACUUUUCCUUGAGGAAUAAUUGAACGGAAUAUUAUUCACGCUCGUUGAAAACUACUCUAAAGUGAGUAGAAUUCGACUCACUUUGGUACAAAGUGGAACAGCUCAAAAGAGAGUAAUGAGCAGUUACUCAUUUUAGAGUAAAAUUAGAUUUUCUUCAAAUUAGAGUAGCUUUUACUCACUUUUAUUUUACAUGAAUUUAGCAAACUGAGUCGAUUUCUACUCACUUUUGUAGAUUUAUUUAGGUUCUUCUUUUUUUUAUUUUCUAACAGAAAAAAUAGCAAUUUCGUAAUAAAAAAAGUAAAAUAAACAUUUUAUUUGUACAUAAAACUAUUUUACAAAUCUUGCACUUAAUACUAAACUAAAGGCGAUAAAUAUUUACAAUCCACUUGAGCCAUAAAUUUAUCUGGUCUGGAUGCUACCUAAGUUCUCCCAUGUGAUGGUUCCUUGGAUGGUUCCUACUCCGUUCAGCUUUUGCCUCGGCUUUUGCUGAUUAUCAUCGGCAUCUAAUCCACCUGUUGUAACAGGAAGCUCCACGGUCAGCAGCCCCAGCACUAUAUCGAUCAGCUGCCAGAAGCCUCUUUUUCUAAAAAGGAAGUUCCCGGGAUGCGUAGCCCUAGACGGUAAAUGGUGGUUUUGAAAAUCUAGUUUAGAAGUUACAUCUCGAGUUUCGAUGUCAAAUUAAUAAUAUCCAUACUUACUUUUCAAACUCACAUUUUCUACCGAUGCUUCAAGAAUUUAGCGGUAAAAUGCACUACAUUUAUCUCACAAAGUUCGAAAAUAUUUGAAAUAGCUUAACCCUGGCAAAAGUUUUUCCAAAUUCUUCUAAGAUAUUUCCGUUAGCGUGAGUGGAAUAAAUUUUGAGACUACUCAUAAGUGAGUAAAAGGCUAAUUUUGACAAACAGAGUAGAAAUCAACUCACUUACAAAAAACACUGUCACUCACUUUUGACAUUUUUUUGAAAAGUUUGCAACUGAGUAGAAAUCUACUCAUUUUUGAGUAGAUUUCAACGAGCGUGUUCCGCAAGGAAAAGUGACAGCUCCAUUUGAUUUGCCCGGCAGGCGUUACGAGCGUUACACAAUUUUCAUUUCUUUCCAGCUGCGGACCGCUCAAGAAAUUUUAACAGCGAAAUCAUUUCUUGACCGUUCCUUGGCCUAUCUUUUUCCACAGUACUUAUUAGGUGCGUACUACCCCUAAGAAUAUAAAAUCAUUGAUUUUUUCUUGAUUUCAAAACCCAAUAGAUGAUGUUUCUUGAGUUCUUUUCUUGUCAAAUAUUUAACCUGUGUACCAGGGGGCGAUCAUCAAAUCAAAAAUUUCAUGACAUUUUCAGCACAUGAUAUAUUAUUAUAAUAUAAAGUGUAGUACGCACCUCAAAAGUACUGUGGAAAAGGAUACCCGGAUAAAAAAUACAAUAGAAAGACAUAGGAUUAUUAUGUAACAGUACCAUUGAAAACCAUACUCUCACAAUAGAAUUCAAUGUUAAAAUAACAGUAGAAAAACAAUAGAAUCAAAUGUUUCUAACAAUAGAAUCAAAUGUGAAUGAGCAUUUCACAUUGAAUUGUAUAGGUUGUUAAGUAUCGUAACAAUACAAAAAAGGACUUUUUUCCAUACAAGUUUUUUCGUAAAACAGAAGAUUCUAAUGUAAAUGAAAUGUUGUUAAUACAUAUACGGGGAAUCAAAUAUACCGUAGAUUUUUAUGUAUUUGUAUUGUUUUGAAUUGUUAAAUAUGCCAGGAACUGUCUAUUUUGAACUGUGAUCUUACAUUAGAUUCAAUGGUUUGGGGAUGGUUUUCUAUUGUGAAACAGAAGAUUCUUAUGUAUUCGAAUUGUUCCAAAAAGUGAAUUACACGGUAAACGUAUUGUUUUGGGUAGUGAUUUUAUUCAUGGCUCCACAUUUGAUUCAAUUGUUUUGGAAUUGUUUUCUAUUGUGAAACAGAACAUACUGUUUUUACUGUAUUUACAUUGAAUUCAAUGGUUUGGGUAUCGUUUUCUAUUGUGAUACCUUGUGUGAUACAAAAGAUUCUUAUGUUUUCGAAUUGUUUCAAACAGUGAAUUGCACGGUAAACGUAUUGUUUUGAGUAGUAAUUUUAUAACUGAUUCCACAUUUGAUUCAAUGGUUUGGGAAUUGUUUUCUAUUGUGAUACACAAGAUUCUUAUGUUUUCAUAUUGUUCUUUGAGCACUGACUUAAUUACACAUUAGAUUCUAUUGUUUUGGAAUUGCUUUCAAUUGUGAUUACGGAACAUACUGUUUUGCCCUAUCCAAAGGUUUGGGAAUUGUUUUCUAUUGUGAAACAGAAAAUUCUAAUGUUUUGGAAUAGUUUUAUUUUACAAGCGAUUAUGAACAUUUUGGCAUGAUUUGAUCUAUUUCUGCUUUUUACUUUUGUUACUGAUUGCUUGAGAAAAUUCUGAAAACUGUGAAUCUGAUCUAUCUUUAUGCAUUUGGACUAGAAGCUUGUAUAUUUUAUGCUACAUUCAGGGCUACAUUUUAAGCACACAGAUCGAACAAUUAUCUAAUAUUUGAAUCAAUCAUGUCGUAAAUCGAGUAAUGUUUAAUUGCAUUAAUGAUUGAAGCUUGGGCUCCCAUGCCCCACUGGCCAGAUAACUGGGUUUAGCAGACUAAGCAUUAUAUGUGGCAACACUAUAAGCGGCAUGAUGGAACCGUGCCUAAGCGCGCUAAGUGUUAUUAGACCACUAAUGUAGUUGCAUUUAGUGGAUGAUGAGGUACAAAAGUAACAUUACAGCGUGCUUAACCAUUAUUGUAGCACUAAAAAAACUCGAUAUACUACAACUUGAACAUAUACUUGAACAUCGUUCGAAGCCGUAAAAUGCAAAAUAUUGCAUAGAUUAAGUUCGUUAAAUGUUGACUAUACACAAGCUUCUAUAUAGUUCGAAUAGUCUUCAAAUAUUUUAUUCACUCAUGUCUGAAGUAACGUCUAAUUGCAUUAAUGGUCGAAGCUUAGGCUCCCAUGCCCCACCAGCCAGAUAACUGGGUUUAGCAAACUAAACACUAUAUGUGGCAACACUAUAAGCGGCAUGAUGGAACCGUGCCUAAGCGCGCUAAGUGUUAUUAGUCCACUAAUGUAGUUGCAUUUAGUGGGUGAUGAGGUACAAAAGUAACAUUACAGCGUGCCUAACCAUUAUUUUUAUAGCAAUUAAAAACAUCGUUGAACUAAGUCCUCGAACACAGUACAUACGUCGGUUUAAUUCAUCGAAAGAUUUAAACGAGAAUGUUAUGUGUUCCAGGCUUAAAGAGUGAAACUAUAUUAGAAGACCUUUCAGACUAUAGCGUCCAAAUGCAAAAGAUUAUUCUAUUGGAAAGUUUCAAAUGAGUGAAAUCAGUUACAAAGCAAAAACAAUGCUUAUAGAACACUGCUGAGAAGCAGGCUUUGUCCCAGUUGAAACGCAAGGCCAAGAAGAAGAGGUAAUAUUACAAGAUUCGAUAAAUCUAUCUAUCUAUUCCUCGUUCUAUUCUAUAUGUAAAAAUGAAUUUCUGUCUUUCUGUCUGACCCUUUAUCGAAUCGGAAACUACUGAACUGUGAACUUUCAUACGAUUCGAAUAUAAAUCUUAAAAACGAGCGGUAUAUAUGAGGGGCCCAGAAUCAAAGGGGUGUAAGUGACCAUUUUGUGACCAUAUGCUGUGCAUAUCAUAAAAUUCUUCAGAUUUCAAUCUAUCAGGAACUUUUUUUUUUAUUUUGAAACUCCAUACAUUUUGUAUAGGACGGAAAAUUGAUGAAAAACUUUAAACCUCAUUUACUCGAAAGUGGGUUUUUGUCACUAACACCCCUUUGCUCCUAACCCCUUCAUAUAUAUAGGUACACACUUGCCAAAGAGAUCAGUGGGGUGUGAAAUGCGCAAUAACACUCACCUUCGGAAAGAUUAUUUACACUUUCCUGGGAUGUAUCUCCAGGAAGUUUCGCCGGAUGUAAGCAUCCUUGUACCUACUAGUAGUUCGACGACCCCUUCGGACUGGGUUCUUCCCUUGACUGCGUCUGGCAGCGAUCGUCUUCGACGAAUUCUCAAUCGUUUCCUCCUCCUCCUAAUUCCUUAUGUCGUCGCUUUCACCCGAUCCGACCGACCGUUUUCACAUUAUCUGCCAAUGUCCUUUCACAAAAACUUCCCCAGCACGACUUGAAGCUUCAUUCUGCAACGGCUCCGGGAAUCCCUACUCAUCGGUCGAAAGCUUGCCCGUAUAAAAAUGAACCAUUGGAUUUUCUGUUGAUACCAUUGAUUUACAAUAGAAAGUACCGUCAACAUAAAAAUGUAUUGUUUUUCAAAUGUCAAAAAUAUAUUUGCAAAUUGUAUCUACAAUACAAAACAUAACAUUAUUAUGUAACAAUAGAUUGUAUUGUUUUGCAUAUGUUUUACCAUACGCAUUUUAUUUUUUUUUCCGUGUGUUUUUAUCAUCAAAUUUUGGGAAUUUUGUUUUACCGUGCAUGUUUUGGUGUCAUGCAGAAAAAAAAAACAAAAAGUGUAGCGGUUGUGCUUCUUCCCGUCCGAGUUCCUGUCCGUAUUCCCAGUGGACCCAAACUAGAACCGGUAAAGGGAAUCCUCCGGAGCGUGUCCAGCUGUCCUAACGGAAGCCAUCGCCGUCCACGAAGUGUACUGGAUCACUACCGGAGGAAUCUUCUGAUGCGGGGUAGCAGGAAAAUGCUGAGAAAGGUUCGAUUGAGACUGCGGCAUUCAUGUUCCAAAUCGAUUUGCUGCGGAAGAUCUGGAGAAUGCGGUACACUGCGACCCCGGACGAUGCUAAAUACCAGACUGCCGGCAAGACGAGCAGCAUAAUGCAAUCGAUUUUCAUCAGAGCUCGAGUCGCGGACAAGGAAACACGAGCAACUGGAGCUCAUUCCCGGCGACGUAAUGCGGAACACGGAUGGAAGAUUUCCGGAUGCAAAUUGAUUUAGGAAGGACGUUGUCGAAGUAAGACCCGAUGCACACGAACUACCUUCAUAAAUUUUGUGAAAGCGCCUUACGCGAACAUUUAAACAAAACUUUGCUGUGCUAUCUUUUGCAUUAGGACAUUGAGCAAUCCGUAUAUUUGAAGGGCUAUUCAAACUAGAAGCUUGUGUAGUUGAUUGAUUGAUUGAUUGAUUUGUCUUUAUUUAAGAGACUUUCAGCCCUUGGCUAGUAGCUUGUGUUGUCAAAAUUUAAAGGACUUAUGAUCUGUCUUGUAAUCUGUACAAUGAUGUAUGCUUUGUUUUGGGAAAACAAGUCCCAAAAUGACACACAAACGUAUCAUUGUAUUAAAAUCAUCUUUUGCAUUUGAACGAUCUUCCAAUAAAGGUUCCAGCUGUAGUAUAUCGAGUAUUUUUAAGUGCUACAAUAAUGGUUAAGCACGCUGUAAUGUUACUUUUGUACCUCAUCACCCACUAAAUGCAACUACAUUAGUGGACUAAUAACACUUAGCGCGCUUAGGCACGGUUCCAUCAUGCCGCUUAUAGUGUUGCCACAUAUAAUGCUUAGUCUGCUAAACCCAGUUAUCUGGCUGUGGGGCAUGGGAGCUUAAGCUUCAACCACAAAUGCAAUUAAACAUUACUCGAUUUACAACACGAGUGUUCUAAAUAUUCGAUGAUUGUUCGAUCUGUGCUCUUAAAAUGUAGCUUAAAAUAUACAAGCUUUUAGCCCAAAUGCAUAAUGAUAGUUCAGUUUCGCAUUGUUUGAGUUUUUUCUAGCAGUCAGUAACAAAAUCAAUAAGCAGAAAUAGAUUAAACCAUUUCAAAAUCAUGAUGUACUUAUGUAAAAUUAAACUAUUCCAAAAUAUCAGAAUAUUCUGUUUCACAGUAGAAAACAAUUCCAAAAUAAUAGAAUCUAAUGUGGAGCCAGUAGUAAAAUCACUGCUCAAACGAAUAUUUACGUUCACCAUACAUUUCACUGUCCAAAAUAAUUUGAAAACAUAAGAAUCUUCUGUUUUACAAUAGAAAACAAUACCCAAACCAUAGAAUUCAAUGUAAAAACAGUACAAACGAAUGUUCUGAUUCACAAUAGAAAACAAUUACAAAAAAUAGAAUCUAAUGUGGAGCCAGUUAUAAAGUCACUGCUCAAAGGAAUACGUAUACUAUACAUUUCACUGUCUAAAACAAUUUGAAAACAUAAGAAUCUUCUGUUUCACAAUAGAAAACAAUACCCAAACCAUAGAAUUCAAUGUAAAAACAGUACCAACAGUAUGUUUUGUUUCACAAUAGAAAACAAUUCCAAAACAAUUGAAUCAAAUGUGGAACCAGAAAUAAAAUAAUCUGAAAACAAUA